AAUCGUGCAUCAGCUCAUAGCGUAUAUUAAGUUGUUGCAGUUAAAAAGCUCGUAGUUGAAUUUCGGGAUUUGUCAGUUGGUCGGGCUUMACUGUCCGUAUUGACUYGAUGGAUUCUUACCUUCUGAAUAACCAGCAUGCUAUUAAKUUAGUGCGUUGGGGAAGCAGAUCUAUUACCUUGAAAAAAUUAGAGUGCUUAAAGCGAGCUAGUGCUUGAAUAGAUUAGCAUGGAAUAAUAAAAUAGGACGGCAUGGUUCUAUUUUGUUGGUUUCUAGGAUCACCGUAAUGAUUAAUAGGGAUAGKKGGGGGCAUUAGUAUUCAAUUGUCAGAGGUGAAAUUCUUGGAUUUAUUGAAGACUAACUUCUGCGAAAGCAUUUGCCAAGGAUGUUUUCAUUAAUCAAGAACGAAAGUUAGGGGAUCGAAGACGAUCAGAUACCGUCGUAGUCUUAACCAUAAACUAUGCCGACUAGGAAUCGGACGAUGUUAAUUUUAUAAUGACUCGUUCGGCGCCUACGGGRAAAAAMACCU
RNAcentral lists this ribosomal RNA (526 nucleotides) under Acaulospora longula. Its description in RNAcentral is "SSU rRNA". Lineage: Eukaryota; Fungi; Glomeromycota; Glomeromycetes; Diversisporales; Acaulosporaceae. The record is from RNAcentral.